This 483-nucleotide ribosomal RNA is filed under the name uncultured bacterium. Its description in RNAcentral is "partial 16S ribosomal RNA". It matches the Rfam family "Bacterial small subunit ribosomal RNA", at positions 28 to 523 of the family's 1533-position model. The record is from RNAcentral.
GACGAACGCUGGCGGCGUGCUUAACACAUGCAAGUCGAACGAUGAAGCUGGAGCUUGCUCCAGUGGAUUAGUGGCGAACGGGUGAGUAACACGUGAGCAAUCUGCCCUUGACUCUGGGAUAACUGCGGGAAACUGUAGCUAAUACCGGAUACGACACCUUGGGGCAUCCCGGGGUGUGGAAAGAAUUUCGGUCAAGGAUGAGCUCGCGGCCUAUCAGCUUGUUGGUGAGGUAAAGGCUCACCAAGGCGACGACGGGUAGCCGGCCUGAGAGGGUGACCGGCCACGCUGGAACUGGUCCACGGUCCAGACUCCGACGGGAGGCAGCAGUGGGGAAUAUUGCACAAUGGGCGAAAGCCUGAUGCAGCAACGCCGCGUGAGGGAUGACGGCCUUCGGGUUGUAAACCUCUUUUAGCAGGGAAGAAGCGAAAGUGACGGUACCUGCAGAAAAAGCACCGGCUAACUACGUGCCAGCCGCCGCCGUAA